CUAAACCUAUGUUCUGAAAGGGGGAAAGAAAGGAAACGGGAAACAGGGUGAAGACAUAAGGGAAAAGGGGGGAAUCAGAGAAGAAGAGGAAGGAGAAGAGAGGGAAGGGAUGGCGCCGGGAAGGGUGCCACUGUCGCCGCCGCUUCCGUCGUGUGGGUGAGAGGGAGAGCUCGUGAAUGGGGUUGUUGCCCAAAGCUGUCGUUACCAUUGGAGCUGCACGAAGCCAUCUCCAUCGUCGUCGCCUGGGCUGUCGCCGUCGUGCUUCAUCGCUGCCGUCGCUAGGGCUCGUCACUAUCGUCGUAGCCAUCGCCAUCGCACGCAGAGGGGAGAGAGAAGGGAAGAUCCGCGAUUGGCCAAGAGAGAGGGGGGAGUCGAAGGAUGCGUUGGUGGGUGUUCUCCUCGCCGCCGCCGUGGGAGCUCGCCACCACUGUGAAGAUGAACCGAGGCAAGCAUUCUUGCUCUUGGUUUCCAUUCUGUUUUGCUUUUGGUUUUUGUUCUGUUCUUGCUUCUAGUUUUCGUUCUGAUUAUUAGGGUUUGCAAUUCCGUCCCCUUUGAAGCUACUGCCAUUGUCGAUUGCCACUAGAGAAUGUGCCGCCAACCUUCUACUGCCGAGAGUUAAUGCUGGAGCUGCCGUGAUGAGUCUGAGUCUGAGACUGCUACUUUGAUUAUGGGUUGUGAUUGCUCUUAAUUUCCAUCCAAUAUGAAUCCUCUGUUUUGCUACAAUCCCGGUCACUGCUGUGAAGACUAUGCCUCUGCAGUUCCGGUUGCAUGGGAGUCACCGCUGCUACAUGAAAAUAAAAGGGGUUAAAUUAUGCGAUUGCGACAUCGAGCUGCAUAGAGGUGGAAGAUUACAAGGAAAGGUAAUCCGAGGCUAUGCUCGCUAUGGAGACCAUUAAAGCCGGGAACAAAGGCUAUGGUGCUGAGAUUACCGUGGUUACUUAUUCGGAGCGAAAGAAAGAGGCAGAUGAGAGAUCAAAAGUUUUGGGCAGCAUGGAAGGGAGCUUAUUACAACUGAACUUGCUUUAAGAAUUUUGUCUAUUCUAAGUGGAGAACAAUCACUACCUAACAUGGAUCAAGCUUCUUUGAACACUACACUUGACAAGCUUGUGAUAAAGGCAAGUUCAUAUUGUCGCUGUAAUUGUGUUAAUAAUGAAUCUAAUAUGGAACUAGGCUCUGCUAAUCAGGAUUUCAGUGAAGUGUCAUAAUCAGUUUUAUUGAAAUAUAUGUUAUAGAUUGUAUACUAUAUAACAGAUUCAACUGGAGAAAUCAUCAACAUGCUACUCUCUAAUUGUUUAUCAGGUGAUUCCGAUGAAAAUUGUGUUUUGUAGUGAUUGUUUGACAGUUGAUACUUAUGUAAAUUUAAUAACUUUGUUCAUUAAGUUGUGAUUGAAUUGUGAUUAAUUAGCCCAAGUUUAUAUAUUAAAUUUAUAAUUCUUGAUAAUUUACAUUUUUAAUUGGCUAGUUUUGAAC
This is a non-coding RNA of Arachis ipaensis, 1470 nucleotides long. The record is from RefSeq and is a predicted model, not a curated record. NCBI's taxonomy places the organism in Eukaryota, Viridiplantae, Streptophyta, Magnoliopsida, Fabales, Fabaceae.